This 72-nucleotide transfer RNA is filed under the name Camelus bactrianus (Bactrian camel). It matches the Rfam family "tRNA". Rfam says of the family: Transfer RNA (tRNA) molecules are approximately 80 nucleotides in length. Their secondary structure includes four short double-helical elements and three loops (D, anti-codon, and T loops). Further hydrogen bonds mediate the characteristic L-shaped molecular structure. tRNAs have two regions of fundamental functional importance: the anti-codon, which is responsible for specific mRNA codon recognition, and the 3' end, to which the tRNAs corresponding amino acid is attached (by aminoacyl-tRNA synthetases). tRNAs cope with the degeneracy of the genetic code in two manners: having more than one tRNA (with a specific anti-codon) for a particular amino acid; and 'wobble' base-pairing, i.e. permitting non-standard base-pairing at the 3rd anti-codon position. The record is from Rfam by way of RNAcentral. Lineage: Eukaryota; Metazoa; Chordata; Mammalia; Artiodactyla; Camelidae. RNAcentral also lists the same sequence under 1 other name.
GGGUAUAUAGCUUAGUGGUAGAGCACAUGCUUAGCAUGCACAGUGUCCUAUGUUCAAUUCCCAGUAUCUCCA